RNAcentral lists this ribosomal RNA (1321 nucleotides) under uncultured bacterium. RNAcentral describes it as "bacterial SSU rRNA". It matches the Rfam family "Bacterial small subunit ribosomal RNA", at positions 28 to 1398 of the family's 1533-position model. The record is from RNAcentral.
GAUGAACGCUGGCGGCGUGCUUAACACAUGCAAGUCGAACGAACCUUCGGGUUAGUGGCGGACGGGUGAGUAACGCGUGAGAAUCUGCCCUCAGGAGGGGGAUAACGGUUGGAAACGACCGCUAAUACCCCAUAUGCCGAUAGGUGAAAUGAAUUUCGCCUGAGGAUGAGCUCGCGUCUGAUUAGCUUGUUGGUGAGGUAAUGGCUCACCAAGGCUUCGAUCAGUAGCUGGUCUGAGAGGAUGAUCAGCCACACUGGGACUGAGACACGGCCCAGACUCCUACGGGAGGCAGCAGUGGGGAAUUUUCCGCAAUGGGCGAAAGCCUGACGGAGCAACGCCGCGUGAGGGACGAAGGCCUCUGGGCUGUAAACCUCUUUUCUCAAGGAAGAAGAUAUGACGGUACUUGAGGAAUAAGCCACGGCUAAUUCCGUGCCAGCAGCCGCGGUAAUACGGGAGUGGCAAGCGUUAUCCGGAAUUAUUGGGCGUAAAGCGUCCGCAGGCGGCCUUUCAAGUCUGCUGUUAAAGCGUGGAGCUUAACUCCAUUAUGGCAGUGGAAACUGAGGGGCUCGAGUGUGGUAGGGGCAGAGGGAACUCCCGGUGUAGCGGUGAAAUGCGUAGAUAUCGGGAAGAACACCAGUGGCGAAGGCGCUCUGCUGGGCCAUUACUGACGCCCAUGGACGAAAGCCAGGGGAGCGAAAGGGAUUAGAUACCCCUGUAGUCCUGGCCGUAAACGAUGAACACUAGGUGUCGGGGGAAUCGACCCCUUCGGUGUCGUAGCUAACGCGUUAAGUGUUCCGCCUGGGGAGUACGCACGCAAGUGUGAAACUCAAAGGAAUUGACGGGGGCCCGCACAAGCGGUGGAGUAUGUGGUUUAAUUCGAUGCAACGCGAAGAACCUUACCAGGGUUUGACAUCCUGAGAACCUCUUAGAAUUUGAGGGUGCCUUCGGGAAUUCAGUGACAGGUGGUGCAUGGCUGUCGUCAGCUCGUGUCGUGAGAUGUUGGGUUAAGUCCCGCAACGGGCGCAACCCACGUUUUUAGUUGCCAGCAUUCAGUUGGGCACUCUAGAAAGACCGCCGGUGAUAAACCGGAGGAAGGUGUGGAUGACGUCAAGUCAUCAUGCCCCUUACACCCUGGGCUACACACGUACUACAAUGCUACGGACAAAGGGCAGCAAACUCGCGAGAGCUAGCAAAUCCCAUAAACCGUGGCUCAGUUCGGAUCGUAGGCUGCAACUCGCCUACGUGAAGUAGGAAUCGCUAGUAAUCGCAGGUCAGCAUACUGCGGUGAAUACUUUCCCGGGCCUUGCACACACCGCCCGUC